AGAGUUUGAUCCUGGCUCAGAAUCAACGCUGGCGGCGUGCCUAACACAUGCAAGUCGCACGAGAAAGGGGAGCAAUCCCUGAGUACAGUGGCGCACGGGUGAGUAACACGUGACUAACCUACCUUCGAGUGGGGAAUAACCUGGGGAAACCCGGGCUAAUACCGCAUAACACUUACGAGUCAAAGCAGCAAUGUGCUUGAAGAGGGGGUCGCGGCCGAUUAGCUAGUUGGCGGGGUAAUGGCCCACCAAGGCUUUGAUCGGUAUCCGGCCUGAGAGGGCGCACGGACACACUGGAACUGAAACACGGUCCAGACUCCUACGGGAGGCAGCAGUGGGGAAUUUUGCGCAAUGGGGGAAACCCUGACGCAGCAACGCCGCGUGGAGGAUGAAGUCUCUUGGGACGUAAACUCCUUUCGAUCGGGACGAUAAUGACGGUACCGGAAGAAGAAGCCCCGGCUAACUUCGUGCCAGCAGCCGCGGUAAUACGAGGGGGGCAAGCGUUGUUCGGAAUUAUUGGGCGUAAAGGGCGCGUAGGCGGCUUGGUAAGUCUUGUGUGAAAUCUUCGGGCUCAACUCGAAGUCUGCAUAGGAAACUGCCGAGCUUGAGUAUGGGAGAGGGUGAGUGGAAUUUCCGGUGUAGCGGUGAAAUGCGUAGAUAUCGGAAGGAACACCUGUGGCGAAAGCGGCUCACUAGACCAUAACUGACGCUGAGGCGCGAAAGCUAGGGGAGCAAACAGGAUUAGAUACCCUGGUAGUCCUAGCCCUAAACGAUGAUCGCUUGGUGUGGCGGGUAUCCAAUCCCGUCGUGCCGAAGCUAACGCGUUAAGCGAUCCGCCUGGGGAGUACGGUCGCAAGACUGAAACUCAAAGGAAUUGACGGGGGCCCGCACAAGCGGUGGA
Molecule: ribosomal RNA, 898 nt
Filed under: uncultured bacterium
Lineage: Bacteria
Description: bacterial SSU rRNA
Rfam family: Bacterial small subunit ribosomal RNA
Source: RNAcentral